This 69-nucleotide transfer RNA is filed under the name Urocitellus parryii (Arctic ground squirrel). Its description in RNAcentral is "Spermophilus parryii (Arctic ground squirrel) tRNA". It matches the Rfam family "tRNA". Rfam says of the family: Transfer RNA (tRNA) molecules are approximately 80 nucleotides in length. Their secondary structure includes four short double-helical elements and three loops (D, anti-codon, and T loops). Further hydrogen bonds mediate the characteristic L-shaped molecular structure. tRNAs have two regions of fundamental functional importance: the anti-codon, which is responsible for specific mRNA codon recognition, and the 3' end, to which the tRNAs corresponding amino acid is attached (by aminoacyl-tRNA synthetases). tRNAs cope with the degeneracy of the genetic code in two manners: having more than one tRNA (with a specific anti-codon) for a particular amino acid; and 'wobble' base-pairing, i.e. permitting non-standard base-pairing at the 3rd anti-codon position. Lineage: Eukaryota; Metazoa; Chordata; Mammalia; Rodentia; Sciuridae. RNAcentral also lists the same sequence under 2 other names. The record is from Rfam by way of RNAcentral.
GGGGUUGUAGCUCAGUGAUAGAGCGCUUGCCUAGCAUGUAUGAGGCACUGGGUUCAAUUCUCAGCACCA